GACGAACGCUGGCGGCGUGCUUAACACAUGCAAGUCGAACGGUAAGGCCCCUUCGGGGGUACACGAGUGGCGAACGGGUGAGUAGCACGUGGGCGAUCUGCCCUGCACUUCGGGAUAAGCCUGGGAAACUGGGUCUAAUACCGGAUAGGACCACGCUCUGCAUGGAGCGUGGUGGAAAGCUUUUGCGGUGUGGGAUGGGCCCGCGGCCUAUCAGCUUGUUGGUGGGGUAAUGGCCUACCAAGGCGACGAC
Molecule: ribosomal RNA, 250 nt
Filed under: uncultured bacterium
Lineage: Bacteria
Description: partial 16S ribosomal RNA
Rfam family: Bacterial small subunit ribosomal RNA
Source: RNAcentral